This 253-nucleotide ribosomal RNA is filed under the name uncultured bacterium. RNAcentral's name for it is "partial 16S ribosomal RNA". It matches the Rfam family "Bacterial small subunit ribosomal RNA", at positions 524 to 776 of the family's 1533-position model. The record is from RNAcentral.
UACAGGGGGGGCAAGCGUUGUUCGGAAUUACUGGGCGUAAAGGGUUUGUAGGUGGCUCGCUAAGUCAGACGUGAAAUCCCCCGGCUUAACCUGGGAACUGCGUCUGAUACUGGGAGGCUUGAGUAUGGGAGAGGGAUGUAGAAUUCCAGGUGUAGCGGUGAAAUGCGUAGAUAUCUGGAGGAAUACCGGUGGCGAAGGCGGCAUCCUGGACCAUUACUGACGCUGAGGCGCGAAAGCUAGGGGAGCAAACGGG